UACGGAGGGUGCAAGCGUUAUCCGGAUUCACUGGGUUUAAAGGGUGCGUAGGCGGGUAAGUAAGUCCGUGGUGAAAUCUCUGGGCUUAACUCAGAAACUGCCGUGGAUACUAUUUGCCUUGAAUAUUGUGGAGGUGAGCGGAAUAUGUCAUGUAGCGGUGAAAUGCUUAGAUAUGACAUAGAACACCAAUUGCGAAGGCAGCUCACUACACAAUCAUUGACGCUGAGGCACGAAAGCGUGGGGAUCAAACAGG
This 253-nucleotide ribosomal RNA is filed under the name uncultured bacterium. RNAcentral's name for it is "partial 16S ribosomal RNA". It matches the Rfam family "Bacterial small subunit ribosomal RNA", at positions 524 to 776 of the family's 1533-position model. The record is from RNAcentral.